This 405-nucleotide ribosomal RNA is filed under the name uncultured Acidimicrobiales bacterium. Its description in RNAcentral is "bacterial SSU rRNA". It matches the Rfam family "Bacterial small subunit ribosomal RNA", at positions 355 to 776 of the family's 1533-position model. Lineage: Bacteria; Bacillati; Actinomycetota; Acidimicrobiia; Acidimicrobiales. The record is from RNAcentral.
UGGGGAAUCUUGCGCAAUGGGCGAAAGCCUGACGCAGCAACGCCGCGUGCGGGAUGACGGCCUUCGGGUUGUAAACCGCUUUCAGCAGGGACGAAAUUGACGGUACCUGCAGAAGAAGCCCCGGCCAACUACGUGCCAGCAGCCGCGGUAACACGUAGGGGGCAAGCGUUGUCCGGAUUUAUUGGGCGUAAAGAGCUCGUAGGCGGCUCGGUAAGUCGGGUGUGAAACCUCCAGGCUCAACCUGGAGACGCCACCUGAUACUGCUGUGGCUAGAGUCCGGUAGGGGAGCGUGGAACUCCUGGUGUAGCGGUGAAAUGCGCAGAUAUCAGGAAGAACACCAGCGGCGAAGGCGGCGCUCUGGGCCGGAACUGACGCUGAGGAGCGAAAGCGUGGGUAGCAAACAGG